GCUACCGUGGUGGAAUUGGCAGACACCGGAGACUUAAAAUCUCCUAUUGGUGACAAUGUGCCCGUUCGAAUCGGGUCGGUAGCA
RNAcentral lists this transfer RNA (84 nucleotides) under Caudoviricetes sp. RNAcentral's name for it is "tRNA-Leu". Lineage: Duplodnaviria; Heunggongvirae; Uroviricota; Caudoviricetes. The record is from RNAcentral.